This is a long non-coding RNA of Cotesia glomerata, 141 nucleotides long. RefSeq lists it as uncharacterized. The transcript is spliced from 4 exons. The record is from RefSeq and is a predicted model, not a curated record. NCBI's taxonomy places the organism in Eukaryota, Metazoa, Arthropoda, Insecta, Hymenoptera, Braconidae.
UAAUACCACUUAAUUUAAAAUUGCCUCUUUUGUUAUCAUAUAACUUUCUUAAUGUUAUACUUGUCUUUCGCCCUUUUAACUAACACAUUUCUUUGUGUUCGACAUAUUCUUUCCACUAAUAAUCACACUCUUAUAAUAAAC